AUUUCAAUCGUCAAAUGAUAGCUUCUAGUACGCUGAUUCCAAAAAUAUUUGGUUUCCAUACAUUUUUUUUUAAAUAAGGGAGAUAAUUUGUUACUUCCGGUUUGAAAAAUGUUACUUACGAUUAUAUAUUAAUAUUUACUUGACACUUAUUCCAAAAAUAUCUGGUUCUAUAUACUUUUAUAUUAAUAAAGUACAAAAAAUAGCUACUUCCGGUUUACAAAAGGUCACUUCCGGUUGUUUCUUUCAAGGUUAAAUGGUUUGAUACCUUUUUCCAAAAGUUUCAUAGCUUUAUCAUGUAACAUAUAAAAUAAAAGCAAAGGUCAAAAUCUAGAACGUCAAAUUAAGCUAUGACCUUGAGAUCAAUUUCAAGGUCAUGAACUAAGGACCUCAAAUCAAAAGACCAUAGGUCUUAAUUAUAUUUGGUUAAUGACUUAUAUCACCAAACACGUAUUUUUAAAUACAAGAGGGGAGAAAACUCCCUUUUACGUUCAACGUGCCCUUGCAAUAAACAUUUAUGUGUUGCGACAUGUCGCAACUAACAAUUUAGUAAAAAUAAUUUGUUGAUAUCUUAUACGGUCUUUGGAUAUAAGUGAAAAUAAGCCAAAUUCAAAUAUUAGAAUAUGACCUUGACCUUUGACCUUGACCUAAUUUUCAUUUUUUUUGGACCAAGGACCUCAAAUCAAAAGAUCCUAGGUCUCUAUCACUUAUGGUUUAUAAGAUAGAAAUGCAUAUCACUUAUAUCAGAUGCAUAAGGGGAAAUAACUCUCAUAUGGAGCGGUCAUAUUGCUUCGGUCAAAAUAGGACAAAUCAUGCAAAGGAUAUAACAAGCAAAUUUUGUAAAAUAAAUUUGUCGUUAUCUUUUACGGUUGCGAAGGAGUUGUGAGCACAAGGAAAACAGUGUUUGGGGAGAUAACUCCUACAAAAAAAAGUAUUCGGUUACGCAGGGUAAAUUUCAAAAGCGCAUAAACUGUUCGAUAUCAUAUACCAAAUAUCAAAGCGACAUAUUGCGAAACAAAUGUUUAUCGCAAGAACAAAAUUAGGCGGAAGAAAAAAAAAAAAUCAGAAGAAAAACAAUAGGUCUUUCCACAGAAAAGUGGAAAGACCUAAUUAAA
RNAcentral lists this long non-coding RNA (1112 nucleotides) under Mytilus galloprovincialis (Mediterranean mussel). Lineage: Eukaryota; Metazoa; Mollusca; Bivalvia; Mytilida; Mytilidae. The record is from RNAcentral.